GCUUGUUAGACAGCGUGUUAGAUUCAGCGGGGGCAGGAGCCGCUUUUGCUAGCGCCCUCUCCAGAGACGCAGCUACCGCUGCGUUGAUCAUUGCUUGAAGGUAUUAAUUGUGUCCUCCAUUGUGGGCACCAACAGAGACUAACAGGCACAGGUAUAGUUAUGAGAGGUGAGGGACCGUGCGGGAGGGAUUCAGGUGAAAAAACGCUCAGCGGCGUGGUACUGGACUCCUAAUCGCUGGGGUUCACCCAGGGUCACAGGGAACUGCUUUGACAGUUCCUGCUAUGCAGCACUCAAUGGGGGCUCACCCCUAGCCAGGAUAUUGGGGUAAACCCUUCUGGCAGUCCCACUCCCCAGGGGCAAUGACACCAACCUGUGAAGGUCCCAAAUGAAU
This is a non-coding RNA of Pelobates cultripes (western spadefoot toad), 391 nucleotides long. The record is from the annotation of a GenBank genome assembly. NCBI's taxonomy places the organism in Eukaryota, Metazoa, Chordata, Amphibia, Anura, Pelobatidae.